Chelonus insularis is the source of this 1693-nucleotide long non-coding RNA. RefSeq lists it as uncharacterized. The record is from RefSeq and is a predicted model, not a curated record. Lineage: Eukaryota; Metazoa; Arthropoda; Insecta; Hymenoptera; Braconidae. The transcript has 2 exons.
GACUUUUUUCUCCAUUUGUUUUAGAGGUCAUUGAUGAUUCUUCAGCAAGUGAAUGUGCUGGUCAAUCGUGAUGCUUGUUUCUCCAAGAAUAAAGCUUAACUGUUGCAUUUUUUGCUAACAAAUGUACAAUGUUCAGCACCUGAAACUCUACUGAAAGAAGAAAUCCAGUAGACUUUAAUUUAAUUAUUAUCUGGAUAAAUCUUUGGAUUGUUUGUUUGAUAUACAGAAUGAUAAAUAUAUUACUUGUUUAUCUAAAGAAAUACUGAUGUGCAUGAAGAGGAAAGAUGUAUCUCUCGAGAGUACAGGUAAUAAAAUCAAAUCCGUUAAAAAAUUUCAAACAUCGUUUAAAGUUCAGACACUAUAAAAACUAUCAAUAUCGGUUGGAGUGGUCGAAAUAAAUGUGACAGUAAAGACCAUACGUAUUAUUAUUAUCGUAUGAGAAAGAUUAAAACAUGAAAGCAAAGAAGAGGGAGUAUAAGUUAGGAGGAAGAAGAAGAAGUGGAUGAAGAGAAACUCUGUAACUUGAUGUCACUGCUGUCAGUCUUUUUCCUUAUGUCUCGGUUGCUUCAAUUUCCUCAUCUCUUUUACCCCCUCUUUCCGGGUUUUCUCAUCAAACCUCGACUUGUCACCUGUUAUCCAAACUAUUCCCGCCAUUCUCAUUAUUAUCGUAGCUGCAACCAGCUGUUAUCCAUUUUUCUUCUCCAUACUCCAACCAACUCACAGUAACUCUAAGUAAAGCGAAUCUCUUGGCUGCCUUCUCCUCCUCUCUUGCCUCACCACUUGAAGCUCCUUCACUCUUUGGAUCGGCCUUCACUCGGUCGAAGGCGAAGAAGGCCGCCAGAGUUCCGGCGGAAGCGCCUACUCGUGUUCCAAAAAAGACUUUUUUGCUACCAAACACAAAAUCAUUUUUAUUUGGGUUGAAAUUUAUUUACAAUUAUUCAGUCAAUUAGACUUGGAUAUUGAACUGGAAAAAAAUAUUUUUGAAUUAAAAUAAAACUUUUUAUUGGGGGGAUAAAUAGUUAGAAGGGAGAGGGAGAGAGAGUGUUGGUGAGUUGUCAAAAGUUUUCUCUAGUCUCUCACUUUCUCUCUCGGUCUCUUAACCAAGACCUAGAGGGAUUAUCAACGGCCUGUCUUGUGUUCACAAGUUCUCUUAAAGAUUAUCACGUAAAAGGAUCGUCGAUCCUUGUUCCCUUGAAACGUCCAAAGUGCCACGAAACUUGUUCUAAUAUCUUCUCCAGUGACAUCAAGACUUUUUGACUUCAAUUAACUCUUCAGAUACUCGAUUAAUGGUUCAAUGGUGCUAGUGAAUACGAAUUUGUGUCUAGAAAAUUGCGUCUGUUUUUUAGUUAAUUCUUUUUCCUCUCUUUGAGAGAAAUAAAAGAAAAAAAAAUAGUGAGGAUUAUUUUUAUCUUCCAUGUAAAGAUGUUUGAUGUCUUAAAGUUUUGUAACAUUAACGUGCUGUGAAUCUAACACGUUCAGACGUUGGUAAGAAAAGUUUUACGAGUGAUCAAGGUGGUUUAAGUUAUAUAGAAAAAGGAUAUACCCUCAGGCAUUUUCCUUGAGCUUAAUUUGAAGCUCUCAACUCUUCCGUUCUUUCAAAGUGUACAGGUAGGAUGAAGACAUUAAAAAUUCCGCCUGUUAACAAAUUGAUGAGAUAUUUUGAGUGAAUUAAAAAUCUUUUAGUUUAAAAAAA